RNAcentral lists this ribosomal RNA (253 nucleotides) under uncultured bacterium. RNAcentral describes it as "partial 16S ribosomal RNA". It matches the Rfam family "Bacterial small subunit ribosomal RNA", at positions 524 to 776 of the family's 1533-position model. The record is from RNAcentral.
AACGUAGGAUGCAAGCGUUAUCCGGAGUUACUGGGCGUAAAGCGCGGGCAGGCGGCUCGAUGCGUCCGAUGUGAAAUCCCCCGGCUCAACCGGGAGAGGCCAUUGGAAACGGUCGGGCUGGAGGGCAGUAGAGGCAGGCGGAAUUCCGGGUGGAGUGGUGAAAUGCGUAGAGAUCCGGAGGAACACCAGAGGCGAAGGCGGUUAGCUGGGCAGUUGCUGACACUGAGGCGCGACAGCGUGGGGAGCAAACAGG